CGGGGUGGAGUAACGCGUGGGUAACCUGCCUCAUACAGGGGGAUAACAGUUAGAAAUGACUGCUGAUACCGCAUAAGACCACAGCACCGCAUGGUGCAGGGGUAAAAACUCCGGUGGUAUGAGAUGGACCCGCGUCUGAUUAGCUAGUUGGUGGGGUAACGGCCUACCAAGGCGACGAUCAGUAGCCGACCUGAGAGGGUGACCGGCCACAUUGGGACUGAGACACGGCCCAA
Molecule: ribosomal RNA, 233 nt
Filed under: uncultured bacterium
Lineage: Bacteria
Description: partial 16S ribosomal RNA
Rfam family: Bacterial small subunit ribosomal RNA
Source: RNAcentral